Molecule: ribosomal RNA, 464 nt
Filed under: uncultured bacterium
Lineage: Bacteria
Description: partial 16S ribosomal RNA
Rfam family: Bacterial small subunit ribosomal RNA
Source: RNAcentral
CUACGGGUUGCAGCAGUUAAGAAUCUUCCGCAAUGGACGAAAGUCUGACGGAGCGACGCCGCGUGGGUGAAGAAGGCCGAGAGGUUGUAAAGCCCUUUUCUGCUUGAGGAAUAAGCCUGGUAGGGAAUGACCGGGUGAUGACGGUAGGGCAGGAAUAAGCCCCGGCUAAUUACGUGCCAGCAGCCGCGGUAACACGUAUGGGGCGAGCGUUGUUCGGAAUCAUUGGGCGUAAAGGGCGUGUAGGCGGAAAUGCAAGUCUGGUGUGAAAGACCGCAGCUCAACUGCGGGGACGCGCUGGAAACUGCAUAUCUUGAGUUCCGGAGGGGGAGUUGGAAUUCCUGGUGUAGGGGUGAAAUCUGUUGAUAUCAGGAAGAACAUCGGUGGCGAAGGCGAACUCCUGGACGAGAACUGACGCUGAGGCGCGAAAGCGUGGGGAGCGAACAGGAUUAGAUACCCUGGUAGUC